Molecule: ribosomal RNA, 250 nt
Filed under: uncultured bacterium
Lineage: Bacteria
Also listed under: 1 other name
Description: partial 16S ribosomal RNA
Rfam family: Bacterial small subunit ribosomal RNA
Source: RNAcentral
GACGUAGGAUGCAAGCGUUGUCCGGAUUUAUUGGGCGUAAAGAGUUCGUAGGCGGUUAGUUAAGUCUGGUGUUAAAUCCCGUGGCCCAACCACGGAGCUGCAUCAGAUACUGGCUGACUUGAGUGCGGUAGAGGCGAGUGGAAUUCCCAGUGUAGCGGUGAAAUGCGUAGAUAUUGGGAAGAACACCAGUGGCGUAAGCGACUCGCUGGGCCGUAACUGACGCUGAGGAACGAAAGCCAGGGGAGCGAAU